UACGAAGGGGGCUAGCGUUGCUCGGAUUGACUGGGCGUAAAGGGCGCGUAGGCGGUUUGCUUAGUCAGACGUGAAAUUCCUGGGCUUAACCUGGGGGCUGCGUUUGAUACAUGCAGGCUUGAGUUCGGAAGAGGGUCGUGGAAUUCCCAGUGUAGAGGUGAAAUUCGUAGAUAUUGGGAAGAACACCGGUGGCGAAGGCGGCGACCUGGUCCGAUACUGACGCUGAGGCGCGAAAGCGUGGGGAGCAAACAGG
Molecule: ribosomal RNA, 253 nt
Filed under: uncultured bacterium
Lineage: Bacteria
Description: partial 16S ribosomal RNA
Rfam family: Bacterial small subunit ribosomal RNA
Source: RNAcentral